This 756-nucleotide long non-coding RNA is filed under the name Citrus sinensis (sweet orange). RNAcentral describes it as "long non-coding RNA (CSIN_LNC004621)". Lineage: Eukaryota; Viridiplantae; Streptophyta; Magnoliopsida; Sapindales; Rutaceae. The record is from RNAcentral.
GAACAAGGCGAUUGCCUAAGGCCCUAUAUUUUUUUAAGGCCUCAUUUUUUUGAGUAUUUUUUAAUAGUUAUUUAAUUAAUAAAGAUCUUUUUUAAAAAAAUUAUGUAUUGUAGAAAAGCUUGUUAGACAUCUUUAUAAUUAACAGUUAUACCACAACUAAGAAUUAUUUUUUUCUGUAGAAAAUCAAUAUUUCGUAACUUUAAUGUUCAAGAGAUAUAAUUAAUAAAAUUGUUUAGCCAUUAAUUCAUUCAUUAUUAGUUUUUCCAAAAAAAAAUAAAUAAAUUUUUUACCUUUUAAGUUUCGUAAAAAAAUUAAAUUCUUUGACUUUUAAUAUUCCUUUUAAUUUCCAUUAAAACCUUGUAAUAUAAAAAAUAAAAAAUAAAUAGAUUUCUUGGUCUUUUUUUUUACGAAUAGAAUUAUUACAUUCAUUGAUUCAUUUAAAAAAGAAAAAAAAUUAGUUUCUUAAAAUACAAAGUGCAUAUCUAUUAUUUGAUAAUUAAUUCAUCAUCUCAACUUUCUACUAUUCUAAAUAUUCUCUUUGAAAAUAAUAUUGUUUGUAUUUAUUUGUUUGUUUAUCUUUGUAAUAAUUUUAAUGGAAGUAAAAAAUAUAUCUUCUUGGUUAUUUUUUUAGGUUUGGUUUUUGAAAAUUUUUAAGAUAUUUUUUAUUACUAUUAAAAUUCAAGAGUUAAAAGUCGUAUGAAUUUUUUAGUCUUAUAUUUCAUUAAAUAUUAAAAUUACAAAAUAAAAAAAGGCCCC